UACAUUAUAAAGUCACUGCUGAGGUAAGCUUGGAGCUGACCUGCCUGAAUUAAUAUAUUAUUAUGUGUUCUGAAGUAGCUGUGGUUAAAGAAUCAGUAGGACUUAAUGGUUAUAAUGUGGAGCAUCUUAACAAUAAAUAUAAAAAUUAUAAAGCUGUAAAAUUGGCGUGUAAAUGGUCACUUACCAUUAGAAAUUAUUCUGCCUGCUUGGCCUGUCAAUUAUCAUCUGGUUUAUGUGGCAUUCUAAGUGGCCAUUGGACAUUUCUCUUUAUGGUGUGGAAUCCAUCUAUUAUGUUUGUAGCUUCUUUUUUCAUUUACAAGGGAAACUUGUAUCUCAAACUGAAUUCUAUUGGAUUAUAGCGACUAUAAGAAGUAUGCCAUUUUUCGCACUAUGUUGACAUUAACAUUAUUGACUGGACUAUGUAAAUGCUUAUUAGUCCAAAUGACUGUACAAAAUUGACUAGUGAGGGGAAGGGGGGGAAAAAGUUACAGGGUUAAUAGAAUAUUAAUUAUCCAUGAACACACACACACACACAUACACACGCACGCACACUACUCCUUUCUUUAAGUCUUGUUUGAAACUAUGGCUUCUGCAAGCUCCUUCAACAAGUGGGAAAUGCAGCUACACAUUUGGUUUUUGAUUUAAAAAUAAAAAAAAGGCUCUUUUGUUACUUCCACAGUUUGAUAAUGCGCUAAUGUCAAAAUUAAAAUAAUUAAUUUCUCUUUAAUUACUUUGUUUUUCUCUUUUUUAAAAUGUAUCAUACUAACUAAAAUUCUGUCCUUUUCUAUUUUUAUUUUACAAUGCUUGUUGUUUAUCUUUAUUUUUUACUUUGGGAGAUUUGUUUCAUUUUACGCCCUUAGAUUAGAGAAAUGGUGGAAUCUUGCAUUUGAGCUUUAUAUUUUGCUUUUCUUGCUUACUCUACCUUUGCAACUGAAUUUAGCAUUUUAUGUUUGUAUGCUAUGCAAUGAGUUAACCUCAGGUUUUGUGUGGAAAAAUUAGAGGAACAUAAUGCAUGGAGAGGCUUUCAUUGUAGGUCAUGGAAUUUAAGUGUUGGGAUUUAUCGUCCUCGUGGUCGCUAUUAUAGAUAACAUGGAAACAGAUGUAAAUUGAGGGUUUUUGAAAAGGAAGAAUGGAAGAGACUAUCUGGAAUUGAUCAAUGAGAAGUGGUUGCAACUAGAUCUGUCCAUAGACUGGUUCAAAAUCAGAACCGAAUCCAAACCAUACCGGUUCAAACCGGAACAGGAACGGGUCAAAACUGGAUAGACCAAAACUGUUAUUGAACUGGACCAGAAUCGGCUGUUUCAGUUUAGGUUCUGGGCCAAACUAGAUUUUUUCCUUUAAAAAAAAUAUAAAAAUUUUCAAUGGCUAGAUUUGAUCAGAACUGGAAUUGGGUCGAAACCAAACUGAAAUUGGGGAACCAUGAAGGGCCAGUUCUAGUCCCCUGAACCUUGGCCCAGAACCGGCCCUAACCAGCCCUAGUUGCUAUAGUUAUUUUCUGGAUUAAAGGAAAUCUUUGUUUUUAUCAUAGAGUUUUUUGCAAAUUUUGUGGAUGAUCUUUACUAUGUAUGGGAUUUAAAAAUGGUUUUUUUUUUUUAAUUUAAAAUUGUGGGUGUGCGAGAUAUGUAUCUGUUUGAAGUGAUAGUGGUGUUUAUAUUUAUCAUUGUUUUAGGAAGUGUGUAGGAAUAAGGUAGCCUGCCUGCUUGUAAAAAAAUGUUUAGCUAGGAAUCAGUGUUGCUCUUGUUUGGAAAACCAACAUGUAAGCUUCUGGGUUUCUUAAUAAAGGCAAUAAUAUCAAGCUCUUUUGAGAUUGUGGCAUUGUCUAUCAUGUACCUUAUCUGCAAA
This 1842-nucleotide unclassified non-coding RNA is filed under the name Hevea brasiliensis (rubber tree). Lineage: Eukaryota; Viridiplantae; Streptophyta; Magnoliopsida; Malpighiales; Euphorbiaceae. The record is from RNAcentral.